RNAcentral lists this non-coding RNA (27 nucleotides) under Macaca fascicularis (crab-eating macaque). The record is from RNAcentral. RNAcentral also lists the same sequence under 1 other name. Lineage: Eukaryota; Metazoa; Chordata; Mammalia; Primates; Cercopithecidae.
UCCACAUGGGCAGUGGCUUGUCAGCAC